Molecule: unclassified non-coding RNA, 209 nt
Filed under: Hevea brasiliensis (rubber tree)
Lineage: Eukaryota; Viridiplantae; Streptophyta; Magnoliopsida; Malpighiales; Euphorbiaceae
Source: RNAcentral
UGAAAGUCCCAUUGGUGCUGUCUAGAUCUAUGACCAAGAGCCUGUCUUCUUGGUUUUUGAUGCGAGCAUGUAGAGCAGAAACUGUAGCAACCGGAAUUACAAUGUCGGCUUUAUCAGGAAGGCGGCCAACAGUGACCUCAUUCGACACAAUUUCGAAAGCAUCUGGCAUUUCUACUUUCGAACCUAUAUGCUUCCACUCUCCAUCGCCG